GAUGGUCGCGGUGCGAGGCGACGAGCCGGCGGGCAAUGCCCUGACGCGUGAAUCGGCGCUUCGUGGCGCGGUGAGGUGGGCGGCACGGUGAGCGGUACUAUCGGAGUCUCGAGCCCGGUGGUGUGCGGUGCGCGGCGUGAAGCGCGGGGUGUUUUGGCCGUGCGAGGAUUUCGAGACGUAUGUAGCGAUCGAGAAGAUGCCGGUCUCGAUCUCGAGAUCUCUCGAGGGAGACGGAGAACCCUCCACCUCCGUUGUGUUCGAGCCGGGUGAUCGGGCGUUUUUUUAAGGAAGGUCUGUAGCCGAGAACUCUCAGCGAAGGCGGAGUACGCUCUACCCUCUGCUACGGAGACGAACUAGAAGUUAAAAUGCGAGCGGUACCGAGAGCUCUCGGUUAAGACAGAGAACACUCUACCCUAUUUACCGAUUGUAGGAAGCUUCUCAGGAUCGUACUCUGGUCGGGAUCGGGAUCCAGCGUACGGUCGGAGCGAGAAGUGUCGCAGCCAGUGUUGCUGUUCGUGCCGCUUUUUUCGCGCAUGCGCAGCACAAUGACGGUUGACGCCGGCGUGAUACAGCGGUGUAAUGUGGACUCAAUACGUGGGCGCAACAAGGGCACGAAGUAUUUUGACGGGCUGCUGCUGGCUGCUGCUUCUGACAGUGAGAUGGUAGGUCUGAUAUGUAAGUUAAGAUGUAAGUUAGGAGAUAAGUUAGGAAGUAAGUUAGUAUGUAAGUGUUUUAUGUAAGUGUUUUACGUAAGUGUUUAAUUAAUUAACUUUUUUUGUAUAUUUUAUUUUAUAUAUUUUAUAUAAUGGAAAAUUUAAAUAAAAAAGGAGCUAAUAAAAAAGUAAUAAAUCGGGAAUUUAAAACUUGUUGACUAGAUGAAGAUAUAUUUAAAGGCUGGCUGACUCCCCAUCCUACAGAGAAUAAGGCAUUAUGUAGUUUAUGUAAUAAAUCCAUCAGAUGCUGCAAAACAGAUUUAGUAAGGCAUUCGCAGAGGGCUAAACAUAUAGAAAAAAUUAAAGAAAAUUGUCAAAGUCUUGAUAACAAUAAUAAUAGUAAUGAUAAUAAUGUAAUUUCACACUCGGAUAAAGUUAAACGUGCAGAAAUAAAAUUAGCAGCGUUUUAUGCAGAGCAUAAUGUUGCUCUUUAUACCGCAGAUCAUUUAAUACCUUUGUUAAAAGAUAUUUUUAUAGAUUCAAAAAUUAUGCACGAUCUUACACUAGCUCGAUCUAAGUGCGGCCAAAUUAUAAAAGAAGUAAUUGCAAAACGUGAGACAGAAAAAUUAGUUAAUAUUUUACAAAAUCAUAAAUUUUCAAUAUUAAUUGACGAAAGCACUGACAUUGCAGACACAAAACUUAUGUGCGUUCUUGUUAAAUUUGUUUCACCUUUAGAUAAAAAAGUAAAGACACAAUUAUUAGAAUUAGUCUCAUUAAAUGCAUCCGACUGCUCAGCAAAUAAAAUUUUUGAUACUUUUAAGAAACUUUUAGAAGAAAAAGAAAUCCCGAUAAAAAAUAUAAUUGGAAUAACAAGCGAUAACGCGUCAGUUAUGAUUGGAUGCAAGAAUUCAUUUUUUUCUCGUCUGCAAUCAGAAGUACCAAGUGUCAUAUUACUAAAUUGUACUUGCCAUUCUUCCGCGAUUAUUGCUAGCAAAGCUUGUGAAAAAUUACCGUCAUCGUGUGAAAGUUUAAUAAGAGGAGUUGCAACUUAUAUAUCGGGUAGUGCUAAGAGAUGUGCUAUUUUACGCGAAUUCCAGGAUUUUUUUAAUGUUGAAAAAAAUAAAAUUUUAAAAUUAUCAAAUACAAGAUGGCUUGUUUUACAUAAAUGUGUUGUCAGGCUUCUCAACAAUUGGGACGUUUUAAAACAUUAUUUUCUUUUUUCAGUAGCCGAAGAUAAUAGUAGAUCUGCGGAAAUUAUUCUAACUCAAUUAAAUGACAACACAAUUAAAGCUUAUUUAUUAUUUUUGAAAUAUUCAUUAAAUUUUUUAAAUAGCUUUAACGGUCUUUUUCAGUCACGCCAAAUUAUGAUUCAUCAAUUAUUUGAAGAAAGUCGAAAAUUAAUUCAUCAAAUUGCUCAAAAUUUUGUAAAACCCGAUGCUUUAAAAAAUAUUGUUACUCUGAACAUAGAUGAUGACAAAAAUAUACAACACCUUAAUAAUAUAUAUUUGGGGCCCGAAUGCGAAUGUUUAUUAGUUACACAAUCUGUAGAAUGCGCGCAAGAAAUUAGAAUAAAUUGUUUAGAUUUUUAGGACUUCCGUUUCCGGUGUCAUAGAGAGUGACAGGUGUGUGUGUGGCGUGUGAAAGAGCGAGUGAGUAAGGUGGUUAAGAAGCAGAGAAUAAUUGCGAGAGGGGUGGCAGUGAGAGAAGGUACGUUAGGUGGAGUAGGGGAAGAAGAGUAGGAGAGGAGAAAUUAGUAAUUAGUUAAUUAGAGACGAAAGAGAAUUGAGUGGGCAGGAUUAAAAAACAAGGGGGAUGUAGCGAAAAAGAAGGGGAGGCCGACAAAUUUAGAAAGGCUGACUAGGGAAAGAACAAGAAGCAUGAAUAGCAUAGAAGAAAUGUUGAUAAGGGGAAAAAGGAAGGAACGAGAGCAGGAUGAGGAGGGGAUGGAGAUAAUGGAAGAGGAGGAGAUACUUAAAAGAAGCAGAAUAGGAAAGGGGUCUCCGGAAACGAAUGAGUGUAGAGGGGGCAAUUUGGGUAAAAUAUUAGAGGAAUUAGGAAAGCUGGGAAAGAAAAUGGAUGAAGGAAAGGAGGAGUUGAAGAAACAGAUAGCAGAUCUAAAAAAUAGGUGGGAGGAGGAAAGGAGAGAAAUGAGGGAUAGGAUAGAGUUGAUGGAAAAAAGAAUAGAAGACUUAGAAGAGAAAUUGGAGAAGGAGGGGGAUAAAAGGAGGGAAAUUUUAAAAGAAGAGGGGAGAAAGGAAGGAAAGGAGGGGGCAGGGGAGAUAACGAGAAGAAUGAGAGAGGUCGAAGUAAGGUUAGACAAAAGGGAGAGGGAAUCAAGGAGAAAUAAUAUAAUAGUCAAAGGAAUUAAGAUAGGAGAGGGAAAGGUGGAAGAGACAAUAAAGGAGCUUUGGGGGGAAAUGGGUAUAGAAGAGAGCCUAAGAGAGGUAAGGAGAGUAGGAGGGGUAGACAGAGAGGGGAGAGGGAUGAUGUUAGUAAAGUUAGGAAGCUUGGAGAGCAAGAGGAGAGUGAUGGAGGCAAAGAAGAGACUAAAAGGUAGAAGGGAGAGGAUAGAUGACGAUUUAACGAGAGAGGAGAGAAGAGCGAGAUGGAAAAUAGAAAGGGAAGCAGAUAAA
RNAcentral lists this unclassified non-coding RNA (3286 nucleotides) under Monomorium pharaonis (pharaoh ant). RNAcentral describes it as "trichohyalin, transcript variant X4". Lineage: Eukaryota; Metazoa; Arthropoda; Insecta; Hymenoptera; Formicidae. The record is from RNAcentral.